This is a long non-coding RNA of Tympanuchus pallidicinctus (lesser prairie-chicken), 1349 nucleotides long. RefSeq lists it as uncharacterized. NCBI's taxonomy places the organism in Eukaryota, Metazoa, Chordata, Aves, Galliformes, Phasianidae. The record is from RefSeq and is a predicted model, not a curated record. The transcript is spliced from 2 exons.
UGAGUCAUCCGUGGGAGCACAGGUGAAGGCAAUUCAGCUGUGUGACCAGAAGGGGUGGAACCUGGCUGCACCUCUCCUAGACUCCACUUAAGGACAGACUGCCCCUCAGGAAGGCUCUCUUUCUGGAGAUUGCUGCUCUGUGGAGUCUUCCCUGCAAACCGAGAUCUUUGGAUACAGUCUCUUCUGUCUCCUCGGUUUUUCCUUCUUGAUGUUACAGUUCCUCUGAAGAACCUUCCAAUUUGUUUGUGCCCUUCAGUCAAAUUCCAAGCCCUUCCAAAUGGAGCAUUUUGGCAGCACUUCAUCCUCUGCUUAUGGACGGUUGUUCACUCCACGGUCUGCAGUUUGCCUUCUACAGCUCAUCACUUCCUCGCUGUACUUCUGGGGGACACAGCAGUUCAAGUGUUUCCUUGUGUUGCAAUUCUCAACAGGCUGGUACCAAAAUAUCAUUUAAGAAGUACUGAAAUGCAACAACACCUAAUGCUGUAAAGGCGAUGUAAGCAGUUUAGAAGGAUUAUUUUACACUCCCAUUAUUCACUGUCCUAGAACACCCUUCUCCCAGCUUGCAUUUUCACUACCAUUGCUAUUAGAAUAAAGCCAAUUGUUUAAAUGAUCAGAAUAUAUGAAUUUUAGCAAGCCUGCUAAAACUGAGACAAAUUGUUUCUGAUUCUGUGAUUGUUCUUUUUGUUAGCUGCAAAAAACCAGUAACACAUUUUAAGAGUCUGUUUCUUAUUAAGAUUUAGAAUACUCAAUUCUUCUGAUAUCUGAGCUUCAAAAUAUGCAGCUCAAUGUUCCCUUACACCUCAAAGCUGAUUUAUUUGAAGAAGAAAAUUGCAUUAAAGUUUCCUGACAUCAUAAACAGCAGAUGCAGUUGCUGUGUACUGUGAAUUCUAUUUCUUGCCCCGCUGAUCUAGUGUCCUUACUGGAACGUAGGCUCUGGAAACAAAGGCAGGCACACAAGGUGUACAGUACAGAUUGCAACUACAACUUGAUUUUUUAUUUUAAUUUUUUAUUUGUGUAUAGAUUGACCACUCUUUGGGAGGAUGAAGAGCAGAAAAAAGGAACAGGGCUCCAACCCCCCAUUAUCUGUUACAGUACACCCAAUGUGCCUGUGAAGCCCGUUUAGCACGGCAGGGGCAGCACCUUGCCACAUGUGUUUCUUGGACUGCGUGAGCUGGCACGACUUACAUCAUUUGGCUGAUGUAAGGCACCCAGUUUGACCUUCAGUAUGUUGCUAUGUAGUUGCUAGGGAUGCAAGUUCUAUUAGAUAAAGCACAGUUACACAUCUGUUAUGACAAAAUACAGAACUAGAAGAAAUAAUGGCGUAUUUACCCAGCAACUCCUGCACCAGU